GUGGAUAAGACAUGCAAGUCGAACGGAAAUUGAGCAUAGCUUGCUAAGCUCAAUUUUAGUGGCGGACGGGUUAGUAACACGUGAGAUACCUACCCUUUAGACAGGAAUAGCCCAUGGAAACGUGGAUUAAUGCCUGAUAGUCUCUACGGAGUAAAUGAGGCCCCUUUAUUGAGGUGUCGCUAAAGGAUGGGCUCGCGGCCUAUCAGUUUGUUGGUGAGGUAAAAGCUCACCAAGACUACGACGGGUAGCUGGUCUGAGAGGACGAUCAGCAACACUGGAACUGAGACACGGUCCAGACACC
This 301-nucleotide ribosomal RNA is filed under the name uncultured deep-sea bacterium. RNAcentral describes it as "bacterial SSU rRNA". It matches the Rfam family "Bacterial small subunit ribosomal RNA", at positions 44 to 339 of the family's 1533-position model. The record is from RNAcentral.